AAAUCAGUUAUCGUUUAUUUGAUAGUACCUUACUACUUGGAUAACCGUGGUAAUUCUAGAGCUAAUACAUGCUAAAAACCUCGACUUCGGAAGGGGUGUAUUUAUUAGAUAAAAAACCAAUGCCCUUCGGGGCUCCUUGGUGAUUCAUAAUAACUUAACGAAUCGCAUGGCCUUGUGCCGGCGAUGGUUCAUUCAAAUUUCUGCCCUAUCAACUUUCGAUGGUAGGAUAGUGGCCUACCAUGGUUUCAACGGGUAACGGGGAAUUAGGGUUCUAUUCCGGAGAGGGAGCCUGAGAAACGGCUACCACAUCCAAGGAAGGCAGCAGGCGCGCAAAUUACCCAAUCCCGACACGGGGAGGUAGUGACAAUAAAUACUGAUACAGGGCUCUUUUGGGUCUUGUAAUUGGAAUGAGUACAAUUUAAAUCCCUUAACGAGGAACAAUUGGAGGGCAAGUCUGGUGCCAGCAGCCGCGGUAAUUCCAGCUCCAAUAGCGUAUAUUAAAGUUGUUGCAGUUAAAAAGCUCGUAGUUGAACCUUGGGCCUGGCUGGCCGGUCCGCCUCACCGCGUGCACUGGUCCGGCCGGGUCUUUCCUUCUGGGGAGCCGCAUGCCCUUCACUGGGUGUGUCGGGGAACCAGGACUUUUACUUUGAAAAAAUUAGAGUGUUCAAAGCAGGCCUAUGCUCGAAUACAUUAGCAUGGAAUAAUAGAAUAGGACGUGUGGUUCUAUUUUGUUGGUUUCUAGGACCGCCGUAAUGAUUAAUAGGGAUAGUCGGGGGCAUCAGUAUUCAAUUGUCAGAGGUGAAAUUCUUGGAUUUAUUGAAGACUAACUACUGCGAAAGCAUUUGCCAAGGAUGUUUUCAUUAAUCAGUGAACGAAAGUUAGGGGAUCGAAGACGAUCAGAUACCGUCGUAGUCUUAACCAUAAACUAUGCCGACUAGGGAUCGGGCGAUGUUAUCUUUUUG
RNAcentral lists this ribosomal RNA (962 nucleotides) under Darkera picea. RNAcentral describes it as "SSU rRNA". It matches the Rfam family "Eukaryotic small subunit ribosomal RNA", at positions 103 to 1073 of the family's 1831-position model. The record is from RNAcentral. Lineage: Eukaryota; Fungi; Ascomycota; Leotiomycetes; Phacidiales; Phacidiaceae.